RNAcentral lists this long non-coding RNA (1400 nucleotides) under Equus caballus (horse). RNAcentral describes it as "lncRNA (ENSECAG00000049403.1)". The record is from RNAcentral. Lineage: Eukaryota; Metazoa; Chordata; Mammalia; Perissodactyla; Equidae.
GUUGUUUCCACAGUUUGGCUAUUGUACAUAGAGCUGCAAUGACCAUGAGAGUGCUAGUGUUAAUAUCUCUUCAAGAUCCUGAUUUGGCCAACAGGAAUAGGAAAAGAUGCUCAACAUCACCCAUCAUCAAAGAAAUGCAAAUCAAAACCACAGUGAAACAGCACCUCACACUGCUUAGGAUGGCUAUUAUAUAAAACAACAGCAAACCAAAAACCCCAAAAGACAAGUGUUGGCCAGGCUAUGGAGAAACUGAAACCCUUGUGCGCUGUUGGUAGGAAAGUAAAAUGGUGCAGCCACUGUGGAAAACAGUAUAGAGAGUCCUCAAAAAAUUAAGAAUAGAACUACCAUGUGAUCCAGCUAUCCCACUUGUGGAUAUUUGUGCAAGCAAGUUAUUUUAAGGUGACUUUAAUUCUGUCCAACUCUACAUUGCUUUAACCAUCUGGGUGGAACUAUUUCAGCAUUUCUCACCCCAUUUCCUUUUAUGGAAAAUAGCACAAACAAAGCAGAGGACUCAGAAAUUCUUUAGUCAAAUAAUAAGAACGGACCAUGCUGAAGUAAAACAUUGUGUUAAAAUACCAGAUGAACUUGAAAGUUAGACAGCAGUUUUAGGAGAAAUUAAUGUUCUGGAAAGACACUGGCUUGUAUGCAAAUGUAGUCUUAUAUAAUUGUUUCCUGUUUCGCUUUCCCUCUCACUCACCUGAGCUGAGUCAGUUAAAAAUUUGCCUUUACGGCCGGAAGGCUUGAGUCAGGAAUGAAAAGAAGGGAACCCUGAAAGAGCCUUCAAGAGGAAACUGCUGCCGAAACUUCAAACCCAGGUCCAAGGAGAUGUGACUUGCACACGUGCUGUAGAGGGAGAACAGUCCGCUGGGUCUCCUCUGCUCUCCUGCUCUGCUGCAACUCUGCUGCACUUCUGACACCAGACGUGUGGGGGUUCCACACAUCAAGCAAGUCUGGAACACAAGACGCCCCUAACCCCCAACUCAGAGGCCCAUCUCAAGUCUAGGUUGUCACCUGUGCUUCUGACCCACCAGCUGUAGAUCGGUGGUUCCCACAACCCCCUCCUCGGAUUCAAUUAAUUUGCUAGAAUGGCUCACAGAACUCAGGAAAACAGUUUCCUUGCUAGAAUACUGGUUUCUCAGGAACAGCCAGAUGGAAGAGAGCAUAGGGCAAGGGGCUGGCCCCAUAGCUGAGUGGUUAAGUUCGUGCGCUCUGCUGCAGGCAGCCCAGUGUUUCGUUGGUUCGAAUCCUGGGUGUGGACAUGGCACUGCUCAUUGAGCCACACUGGGGCAGCGUCCCACAUGCCAUAACUUGAAGGACCCACAGUGAAGAAUAUACAACUAUGUGUUGGAGGGCUUUGGGGAGAAAAAGGAAAAAAAUAAAAUCUUAAAAAAAAAAUUUUC